AGUAUACUCCCUCCGUUCCAAAUUACUCGUCGCAGAAAUGGAUGUAUCUAAAAUUAAAAUACAUCUAGAUAGAUCCAUACUUGUGACAAGUAAUUUGGAAUGGAGGGAGUAGAAU
Triticum urartu is the source of this 115-nucleotide non-coding RNA. Lineage: Eukaryota; Viridiplantae; Streptophyta; Magnoliopsida; Poales; Poaceae. The record is from Rfam.